This 482-nucleotide ribosomal RNA is filed under the name uncultured bacterium. RNAcentral describes it as "partial 16S ribosomal RNA". It matches the Rfam family "Bacterial small subunit ribosomal RNA", at positions 30 to 507 of the family's 1533-position model. The record is from RNAcentral.
AUUGAACGCUGGCGGCAUGCCUUACACAUGCAAGUCGAACGGUAACAGGUCUUCGGAUGCUGACGAGUGGCGAACGGGUGAGUAAUACAUCGGAACGUGCCCGAUCGUGGGGGAUAACGAAGCGAAAGCUUUGCUAAUACCGCAUAAGAUCUACGGAUGAAAGCAGGGGACCGCAAGGCCUUGCGCGAACGGAGCGGCCGAUGGCAGAUUAGGUAGUUGGUGGGAUAAAAGUUUACCAAGCCGACGAUCUGUAGCUGGUCUGAGAGGACGACCAGCCACACUGGGACUGAGACACGGCCCAGACUCCUACGGGAGGCAGCAGUGGGGAAUUUUGGACAAUGGGCGAAAGCCUGAUCCAGCCAUGCCGCGUGCAGGAUGAAGGCCUUCGGGUUGUAAACUGCUUUUGUACGGAACGAAAAGACUCUGGUUAAUACCUGGGGUCCAUGACGGUACCGUAAGAAUAAGCACCGGCUAACUACGUG